AAAAGACUCAAAGAAGGGAUUGAGUACUAAAGGACAUCCUUUUCCCUAGAAAACUUUCCCCAACUUUUUCUUCAAUGUCACCUGAGGACUUGUGCAAUGACACCUCCUGGAUGGAUUAUUUCAGCUCUGCCUGCAGGUUUCUUCUGUGGAAGUGGAUGAGCUUCCAUCCUUCUGUGGGCGACCACCAUCUCUGCUGCUAUGUGAGAUUUGUGCCAUAACGUCUUGUGAUGGUUGCUAGACCACCUUUUUUGCUAAACUGCAGGCUGGAAUGAUGAAAAGAAAGGGAAAAGCAGAGCCCAGAGUACUGAUGUGUACAGUAGCAAUGGCAGAGCAGGUAAGUGAGGAGGAAAUACUGCUACAAUUCUGGGAGUAUUCAAGAUUUUCUGAUUUUCUGACACUGCAUUUUGGAAAUAUUAAACAACAUUUUCCUCACCUUUAUAGCUCUGCCCUGUGUCCCCUUACUUUUGAUGUCUAUUUGGUUUACCUAGACAAAUUCUGUCAGGAUCCUUUUGUGUGAGUUUCUUCUUUUAUUUUGCAUAGUUCCAGAAAGCAAUCAAGGUAAUUAUGAAUUGAAAAGGAAAAGGACAAAGAUCAUGAUGAGCUGUAUAAUGAAUAUUGAUUCCUUAACAAUAACCUCAUUUUCCAAAUGAAGACUUAUUGGAUUCUAUCAGAGCUAGUUACAGUCCAUAGAUUCUUUAAUUUUUAUUAUUUUUCUUCUGUAGGUUUGUAUUUCUAGAUCUGAACAAAGUAAUGCUGU
Molecule: long non-coding RNA, 757 nt
Organism: Prinia subflava (tawny-flanked prinia)
Lineage: Eukaryota; Metazoa; Chordata; Aves; Passeriformes; Cisticolidae
Exons: 3
Source: RefSeq, a predicted model, not a curated record